RNAcentral lists this long non-coding RNA (274 nucleotides) under Lathyrus oleraceus (garden pea). RNAcentral describes it as "Pisum sativum (pea) long non-coding RNA (PSAT_LNC026814)". Lineage: Eukaryota; Viridiplantae; Streptophyta; Magnoliopsida; Fabales; Fabaceae. The record is from RNAcentral.
GAUUUUUGUGCUAACGCUGGAAUGUGUGUCGUUUUGCAUGUGUUUUACUUAGAGUAUAUAAACACUUUUCUCACAUUUCACACUUAUCACUCUCACUCACUCUCAAACCCUCUCUAAAACCCUAAAACUCUCUGAAGCAUUCUCUGCAAGUUCUUCAAUCUUCAUCUUCUUCUUCACCAUGGACGCUCAACAACAAGAAGUCUUUAACUUCUCUCAACAAAUGGAAUCUAGUUCUACUGCUCAAACCUCAAACACUCAAACUCCAACGGUUACA